Molecule: ribosomal RNA, 328 nt
Filed under: uncultured eukaryote
Lineage: Eukaryota
Description: partial 18S ribosomal RNA
Rfam family: Eukaryotic small subunit ribosomal RNA
Source: RNAcentral
UCCUUAGAUGUCCUGGGCCGCACGCGCGUUACACUGAUGCAUUCAACGAGCUUAUAACCUUGGCCGAGAGGCCUGGGCAAUCUUGUUAACGUGCAUCGUGAUAGGGAUAGAUUAUUGAAAUUAUUAAUCUUGAACGAGGAAUUCCUAGUAAACGCAGAUCAUCAAUCUGCAUUGAUUACGUCCCUGCCCUUUGUACACACCGCCCGUCGCACCUACCGAUUGGAUGGUCCGGUGAAGCCUCGGGAUUGUGGUUCUUGCCGCUUUAUUGUGGCGUGACCGCGAGAACUUGUCUAAACCUUAUUAUCUAGAGGAAGGUGAAGUCGUAACA